GAUGAACGCUGGCGGCGUGCCUAAUACAUGCAAGUCGAGCGAACAGAUGAGGAGCUUGCUCCUCUGACGUUAGCGGCGGACGGGUGAGUAACACGUGGAUAACCUACCUAUAAGACUGGGAUAACUUCGGGAAACCGGAGCUAAUACCGGAUAAUAUAUUGAACCGCAUGGUUCAAUAGUGAAAGACGGUUUUGCUGUCACUUAUAGAUGGAUCCGCGCCGCAUUAGCUAGUUGGUACGGUAACGGCUUACCAAGGCGACGAUGCGUAGCCGACCUGCGAGGGUGAACGGCCACACUGGAACUGAGACACGGUCCAGACUCCUACGGGAGGCAGCAGUAGGGAAUCUUCCGCAAUGUGCGAAAGCCUGACGGAGCAACGCCGCGUGAGUGAUGAAGGUCUUCGGAUCGUAAGACUCUGUUAGUAGGGAAGAACAAAUGUGUAAGUAACUAUGCACGUCUUGACGGUACCUAAACAGGAAGCCACGGCUAACUACGUG
RNAcentral lists this ribosomal RNA (497 nucleotides) under uncultured bacterium. Its description in RNAcentral is "partial 16S ribosomal RNA". It matches the Rfam family "Bacterial small subunit ribosomal RNA", at positions 28 to 507 of the family's 1533-position model. The record is from RNAcentral.